RNAcentral lists this ribosomal RNA (310 nucleotides) under uncultured bacterium. RNAcentral's name for it is "partial 16S ribosomal RNA". It matches the Rfam family "Bacterial small subunit ribosomal RNA", at positions 1 to 271 of the family's 1533-position model. The record is from RNAcentral.
AAAGACAUAUCGGUCUCCGAAUGCAUCCGAUUGAUUNGANUGAUCAUGGCUCAAUUGAACGCUGGCGUGCAGGCCUAACACAUGCAAGUCGAGCGGCAGCACAAGUAAGUUUACUUAUGAGNGUGGCGAGCGGCGGACGGGUGAGUAAUGCCUANGGAUCUGCCCAGUCGAGGGGGAUAACAGUUGGAAACGACUGCUAAUACCGACAUACGACCCUACGGGGGAAAGGAGGGGACCUUCGGGCCUUCCGCGAUUGGAUAGAACNCAAGAUAGNGAUAUANCUAGUAUAGGUGAGGUAAUGGCUCACCAA